CCUACGGGUGGCAGCAGUGGGGAAUAUUGCACAAUGGGCGAAACCCUGAUGCAGCGACGCCGCGUGAGGGAAGAAGUAUUUCGGUAUGUAAAGCUCUAUCAGCAGGGAAGAACAUGACGGUACCUGACUAAGAAGCACUGGCUAACUACGUGACAGCAGCCGCGGGAAUACGUAGGGGGCAAGCGUUCUCCGGAUUUACUGGGUGUAAAGGGAGCGUAGACGGCCAGACAAGUCAGAAGUGAAAGCCCAGGGCGCAACCCUGGGACUGCUUUUGAAACUGGCGGGCUGGAGUGCAGGAGAGGUAAGCGGAAUUCCUGGUGUAGCGGUGAAAUGCGUAGAUAUUAGGAGGAACACCAGUGGCGAAGGCGGCUUACUGGACUGUAACUGACGUUGAGGCUCGAAAGCGUGGGGAGCAAACAGGAUUAGAUACCCCGGUAGUC
RNAcentral lists this ribosomal RNA (440 nucleotides) under uncultured bacterium. RNAcentral describes it as "partial 16S ribosomal RNA". It matches the Rfam family "Bacterial small subunit ribosomal RNA", at positions 338 to 795 of the family's 1533-position model. The record is from RNAcentral.